UGAGGAAUUUUGCGCAAUGGGGGAAACCCUGACGCAGCAACGCCGCGUGAGUGAUGAAGGAUUUCGGUUCGUAAAGCUCUGUCAAGUGGGAAGAAACUAUUUAAUGUAAACAGCAUUGGAUACUGACGGUACCACUGAAGGAAGCACCGGCUAACUCCGUGCCAGCAGCCGCGGUAAUACGGAGGGUGCAAGCGUUAUUCGGAUUUACUGGGCGUAAAGGGCGCGUAGGCGGCUUGAUAAGUCAGUCGUGAAAGCCCGGGGCUCAACCCCGGAAGUGCGAUUGAAACUAUCAGGCUUGAGUAUGGUAGAGGGAAGUGGAAUUCCUGGUGUAGCGGUGAAAUGCGUAGAUAUCAGGAGGAACACCGGUGGCGAAGGCGACUUCCUGGGCCAAUACUGACGC
Molecule: ribosomal RNA, 400 nt
Filed under: uncultured bacterium
Lineage: Bacteria
Description: bacterial SSU rRNA
Rfam family: Bacterial small subunit ribosomal RNA
Source: RNAcentral